AAAGCAAGAAAGGAUGCAGAACUGCCU
RNAcentral lists this non-coding RNA (27 nucleotides) under Homo sapiens (human). The record is from RNAcentral. Lineage: Eukaryota; Metazoa; Chordata; Mammalia; Primates; Hominidae.